UUAGCUAUAGUUUAGUGGUGAGAAUUCCAUGUUGUGGCCGUGAAGACCUGGGUUCGAAUUCCAGCAGCCACA
RNAcentral lists this transfer RNA (72 nucleotides) under Eutrema salsugineum. It matches the Rfam family "tRNA". From Rfam's summary of the family: Transfer RNA (tRNA) molecules are approximately 80 nucleotides in length. The record is from Rfam by way of RNAcentral. Lineage: Eukaryota; Viridiplantae; Streptophyta; Magnoliopsida; Brassicales; Brassicaceae.